This is a non-coding RNA of Heterocephalus glaber (naked mole-rat), 1493 nucleotides long. The record is from RefSeq and is a predicted model, not a curated record. Lineage: Eukaryota; Metazoa; Chordata; Mammalia; Rodentia; Bathyergidae.
CCUUAAGGGUCCGCUUGCCCCCUGCGGGACCUCCUCCUUCUCCCCUUCUCGCCCCUUUCGUUAGGGGGCGGAAAAGUUUGCUAAGUGGCGGCACCUCCAGAGUCCCCGGCAAGCGCGGAGGGAGCUAGGCAGCCCAGUGCCCCAGGGUCCGAACACCCCGCGCCCACCUGGGCGCGCGGGGGCACCGCGAGGUACCCGCCGCGCGUCGGCCGGUCUGCGAAGUUUGCUCCGCUCAGCUUCCGAGGCGCAGGAACGGGGCGCGGCUCCGAGAGGGCAGGCCUGCAGCGCAGCUACCUCGGGGACGGCCAGGCAACGGCGCGGCAGCGGCCGGCCAGCAAGCUCCUCCGGGGGCGGCGGGCGCGGCGUCGGCGGCGGGAGGGGUCCCUCGGGCUCGCACAACCUCGGGGCGGGGGCGGGGGCGGGCGCAGCAGCCGAGGUCCUGGCCCUCUCGAGUCCCGGUGUCCGAGGAGGCGACGGCGGUGCUGGUCUGCCCGGGGCGCUGUCUGCGUGUGCGCCGGAGGAGCCCGAGGGAAAACGAAAGGGGACUUCAGAGACACGUUACUCCAAAUCCCUUGUUUUACCGAUGGAAAAACGUCCAACUGCAAAGGAUCGCCUGCCGGCAUCUCACCGUAACUCUCAUCCUGAACCAGCCCUUGACCCCUUCCUGGGCAUCUGGCCAGCUCUCCUCCGAGAGCCCCGCUGCUCUCUGAGCCGAAGUUCACGCAGCCAGAAUAGCCCCAAACCAGACCCCAUGUUCCAUUCUUCCCUUUCAGCCCCCUUCAAACUACAAUGGCUCUUGGAAUGAAGAGCGAGGGAGUGGGCCUCGGGGCGGGAUCUGGGCGUGGAGGAGCAGGAUUUCCUGGUCUGGCCAUGCACACCCGCGCUGCACUCACUCCCACCCUGUGUCUUGACUGCGGGUGGACUGGGGGCUCCUCGGAGCAGAACCUGGGUCUCGACCAUCUAGCAGCCAUCAGUGGUUCUAAGAGGUCUAAUUGCAGCCCCGCCCAGAAGGAGAUGCGGGGCUCGGGGUGGGGGUGGGGGGAGCCAGUCAGAGCCUGGGAUUUUCCAGGCCACAGGAUUGGCUGGGCUUAGCUCACACACCCACCUCCGAACCAUGGACAGCUCUUCCCCCUCUUUCCAGCCAGAGCUGGAAAAUGAUAGAUGUCACCCCGGGGGCAUCUCCUGGACUUUGGGAAAGCAUCUCCUUAGAGGCCCUGGGCAGAGCUGAGAGGUGAAGGAAAGGAAGGUGGCUUUUGGAAUGCUGCGGGCACGGCCACCCAACUUGGCUGACCAAACUCAUUCUUUCUUUGGCUUAGGUCACUAAGUUGGUCUUAAGCCUGCCCAGUGCCCAAGGGCCCGAGAACUGAGUUGGCAGCCUGUCUGUGGGCCCCCUUUCCCAGGGCCAGUCCCUGUGCUACCUAGACCUCAGUUUCCUCGUCACUAAAAACAGGUGCAUCAUAUUAGCUAAUAAAGGACAUCAUUGUUUUAUAACA